Small nucleolar RNA from Lactuca sativa (garden lettuce), 107 nucleotides. The record is from RefSeq and is a predicted model, not a curated record. Lineage: Eukaryota; Viridiplantae; Streptophyta; Magnoliopsida; Asterales; Asteraceae.
AAAUCAUGUUGAGGGAAAAUUCUUAGCAAGACCUUGUAUCUCUCCCAAGAUUCAUAGAAGGAAUCUUCCACCUCUUAUUGAAAGUUGUCUAUCUUCUUCUUAAGCUU